ACGGGAGGCAGCAGUGGGGAAUAUUGCACAAUGGGGGAAACCCUGAUGCAGCGACGCCGCGUGAGUGAAGAAGUAUUUCGGUAUGUAAAGCUCUAUCAGCAGGGACGAAAAUGACGGUACCUGAAUAAGCAGCCCCGGCUAACUACGUGCCAGCAGCCGCGGUAAUACGUAGGGGGCAAGCGUUAUCCGGAAUUACUGGGUGUAGAGGGUGCGCAGGCGGCCAAACAAGUCAGCUGUGAAACCCGAGGGCUUAACCCUCGGCUUGCAGUUGAAACUGUAUGGCUAGAGUACAGGAGGGGAAAGCGGAAUUUCUAGUGUAGCGGUGAAAUGCGUAGAUAUUAGGAAGAACACCGGUGGCGAAGGCGGCUUUCUGGACUGUAACCGACGCUCAGGCACGAAAGCGUGGGGAGCAAACAGGAUUAGAUACCCUGGUA
Molecule: ribosomal RNA, 434 nt
Filed under: uncultured Lachnospiraceae bacterium
Lineage: Bacteria; Bacillati; Bacillota; Clostridia; Lachnospirales; Lachnospiraceae
Description: partial 16S ribosomal RNA
Rfam family: Bacterial small subunit ribosomal RNA
Source: RNAcentral